UCUCGGGGCCUGCUUGGAUCCAGGCGGCUGCAGCUUCCCAGCCCGGCUCUGCCUCCAUCUUCUGCCAUCUGGCUGUGGCUUCCUAAUGCAUGAACACCGUGUUUUGGUUUUGCAGUUAAAAGGAAAAGGGAAGAAACUAAGGUGAGGUCUUUUCUUACCUGAUCUUGGACAUAUCCUGCCAUAUCCUAGCCUACUCUAAACCAUGGUGCCUGUAUCCUGACUUCCUCCUCGCCCUUCCUCCACUGGAAUUCAGAAUCCAUCCUCUACAUAUAUUGGGCUAUGAUUGAU
Molecule: long non-coding RNA, 288 nt
Filed under: Monodelphis domestica (gray short-tailed opossum)
Lineage: Eukaryota; Metazoa; Chordata; Mammalia; Didelphimorphia; Didelphidae
Description: lncRNA (ENSMODG00000051493.1)
Source: RNAcentral